AACGAACGCUGGCGGCGUGCCUAAUACAUGCAAGUCGAGCGGAGUUUAUCCUUCGGGGUAAACUUAGCGGCGGACGGGUGAGUAACACGUAGGCAACCUGCCCGUAAGACUGGGAUAACUACCGGAAACGGUAGCUAAUACCGGAUAAAUUACUUUGCCGCAUGGCGAGGUAAUGAAAGGCGGAGCAAUCUGUCACUUACGGAUGGGCCUGCGGCGCAUUAGCUAGUUGGUGGGGUAAUGGCUCACCAAGGCGACGAUGCGUAGCCGACCUGGGAGGGUGAACGGCCACACUGGGACUGAGACACGGCCCAGACUCCUACGGGAGGCAGCAGUAGGGAAUCUUCCGCAAUGGACGAAAGUCUGACGGAGCAACGCCGCGUGAGUGAAGAAGGUUUUCGGAUCGUAAAGCUCUGUUGCCAGGGAAGAACGUCUUGUAGAGUAACUGCUAUGAGAGAGACGGUACCUGAGAAGAAAGCCCCGGCUAACUACGUGCCAGCCGCCGCAGUAA
This 508-nucleotide ribosomal RNA is filed under the name uncultured bacterium. Its description in RNAcentral is "partial 16S ribosomal RNA". It matches the Rfam family "Bacterial small subunit ribosomal RNA", at positions 29 to 523 of the family's 1533-position model. The record is from RNAcentral.